CACAUUACUUGGUGUUGCCGUGGGUAAUUCCGACGGGCCUGAAAGGGUUAAUAGCGUGAACGCGCAUGAUGAUCGAUGUAGCGAACGCGUUCCGUUUUGUUGUUGCUCAAUGUUGACACACAUACAUGAAGGAGCUAAUUGAAGCAAAAGCGGUAGGAAAAAAAACGGCCAUAACAGAUUUGUUGAUGGUUCUGUACAGAAGGAAUGAAGAAAGAUGGUUUUCUUUCUAGCGUAGUGAAAUAUGUGUGUGAUAGUAUAAUUGUGAAAGUUUAAUUGGAAAAUUUGUUGAGUAUUGUGAAUAUUGUAGUGUAGUAUAGAUGAUGUAUUCAUUGUGUUAUUUGUAGAUCAUUGCUGUAACGAAGUCUUUGUAUUGAAGUCCCUGUUUUGUCAUCGUCUUGCAUAAAUCAUAUUACCGUUACUUACCGUGAGUUUGUUUCGUGUAGUUUAUAAAUUUGUUUAUAAUUAAAAUUAAUUGUUAAUAUAGAAUCGUCCGCUAGUCUACAGAGGUACAGAGCAGAAAGAGGCUGGUUGCUGUGGGAGAAAACUAGAUUUUGAGUUCGUUCACCUACCCACUUGAGAUCGUUUUCUUGCACCCGGAGGGUGUAACACUUAGUAUGGACGAUUUUUCCUUUUGCUAUUGACAAAUUUCCAAAAAUAUUUCGGAUUACGCCUAAGACUGAUUUGUACCCUCAUAACAUGUGCCUUGUACAGAGUUGAAUUCAAACGACGGUUCCGAAGAAAAGGUGUAGCUCAGACGCGCGAAAGUGGACGACGUUUUGGAGGCACGUUUAGUUGCAGCCAUUGUUGAACGAUACUACAGAAACUGUCCGCCAUAUCAUUAACAUCUUGGCAAUCACUUAGGUAACCCCACUCAAAGGUACGGACAUAAUCAGAAGCCGCACUUGAUGAAGGAAUAGAUAUGUUUCCAGCAAGCACUACAUUACCGUCCGUACGGCGGUUCAUUGAAGGCGGGGUUGGUUGUAAUCACCACAGAUUAAGAUCCUUUCAUCAUAAGAAUUGUUUUCACACAGUUCACGAACGGAACGUCUAAUAAAGCUGCAUCGUUACUGCG
Armigeres subalbatus is the source of this 1072-nucleotide long non-coding RNA. RefSeq lists it as uncharacterized. The transcript is spliced from 3 exons. The record is from RefSeq and is a predicted model, not a curated record. NCBI's taxonomy places the organism in Eukaryota, Metazoa, Arthropoda, Insecta, Diptera, Culicidae.